CUCUCGGCAACGGAUAUCUCGGCUCUCGCAUCGAUGAAGAACGUAGCGAAAUGCGAUACCUGGUGUGAAUUGCAGAAUCCCGCGAACCAUCGAGUCUUUGAACGCAAGUUGCGCCCGAGGCCACCUGGCUGAGGGCACGCCUGCCUGGGCGUCACGCCAAAUA
RNAcentral lists this ribosomal RNA (163 nucleotides) under Alopecurus aequalis. RNAcentral describes it as "5.8S ribosomal RNA". It matches the Rfam family "5.8S ribosomal RNA". Rfam says of the family: 5.8S ribosomal RNA (5.8S rRNA) is a component of the large subunit of the eukaryotic ribosome. The record is from RNAcentral. RNAcentral also lists the same sequence under 1 other name. Lineage: Eukaryota; Viridiplantae; Streptophyta; Magnoliopsida; Poales; Poaceae.